This 334-nucleotide ribosomal RNA is filed under the name Lomentospora prolificans. RNAcentral's name for it is "eukaryotic LSU rRNA". It matches the Rfam family "Eukaryotic large subunit ribosomal RNA", at positions 294 to 648 of the family's 3401-position model. The record is from RNAcentral. Lineage: Eukaryota; Fungi; Ascomycota; Sordariomycetes; Microascales; Microascaceae.
GGGAGGUAAACCCCUUCUAAAGCUAAAUAUUGGCCAGAGACCGAUAGCGCACAAGUAGAGUGAUCGAAAGAUGAAAAGCACUUUGAAAAGAGAGUUAAACAGCACGUGAAAUUGUUGAAAGGGAAGCGCUUGCGACCAGACUUGUGCUCGUCGAAUCAGCCGUCGCUCGUCGGCGGCGCAUUUCGGCGGGCUCAGGCCAGCAUCAGUUCGCUGUAGGGGGAGAAAGGCGGUAGGAAUGUGGCUCUUCGGAGUGUUAUAGCCUGCCGUGUAAUACCCCUCGGCGGACUGAGGACCGCGCAUCUGCAAGGAUGCUGGCGUAAUGGUUGUCAGCGAC